RNAcentral lists this ribosomal RNA (278 nucleotides) under uncultured bacterium. Its description in RNAcentral is "partial 16S ribosomal RNA". It matches the Rfam family "Bacterial small subunit ribosomal RNA", at positions 75 to 354 of the family's 1533-position model. The record is from RNAcentral.
CUUGCUUUCCUUGCCGGCGACCGGCGCACGGGUGAGUAACACGUAUCCAACCUGCCUCAUACUCGGGGAUAGCCUUUCGAAAGAAAGAUUAAUACCCGAUGUUAUAGUCCUACCGCAUGAUGGGAUUAUUAAAGAAUUUCGGUAUGGGAUGGGGAUGCGUUCCAUUAGUUAGUUGGCGGGGUAACGGCCCACCAAGACAACGAUGGAUAGGGGUUCUGAGAGGAAGGUCCCCCACAUUGGAACUGAGACACGGUCCAAACUCCUACGGGAGGCAGCAG